This 993-nucleotide long non-coding RNA is filed under the name Nicotiana benthamiana. Its description in RNAcentral is "long non-coding RNA (NBEN_LNC007196)". Lineage: Eukaryota; Viridiplantae; Streptophyta; Magnoliopsida; Solanales; Solanaceae. The record is from RNAcentral.
AUUGAGAAAAAUCAGUACCAUACUGUAAGAAAAAUACACAAAUCACAAUUUAAGGCUAGUAAUACCAAUCUUGCAAGAGUAAGUAUAAAAUCACAACCAAAAUUCCCAAAAGAAGAACAAUCAGCAUGGUAUGGGAAUGAAACAUUAGCACCAAGAAUCAAAGUAAAAGGGCACGGAGCUCAUAGAACAACAUGCAAGUAGGAAAAUACAGAUACAAACAUGUAGGGUUAGGGGUUUUCAUCAAAUUUUAACACAAUACGGAGCUCAUAGAAGAACGUGCAAGCAGGCAAACACAGAUACAAACAUGUAAGGUAAGGGGUUUUCAUCAAAUGUUAACAUAAUACUUAGAAGUAGUACCGAAAACCAGGGAUUAAUGGUAGAGACCAGAAAAGUAGAAUCUUUUAGAAAGGGGGGUUAUGAAAUCAUGGAAAUAGAAAUUACAGUAUGAAGCCCAAGUCAUCAAAGAAACAAACAAACAAGUAAAAUAAACAACCUAAACGACUAUGUAGCACUCAGAAACAGUAGAAGAAACAGUUUUGAAGAAAUGGUUAGAAACCCUAGUCUGGAAGGGUCGAAAAAUUUGAAAUACUCGAAGAAACUAAGUAGAUGUAGAGUAGAAAAUAAGGAAAUCAAACUGAAAGUCAUUUAAAAGAGGAGAGAUUAAAGAGAAAAGUUAGGGUUUUUAAAUAGAUUAUGGAAACGAAGAACCUGGUUGUGAAACUCGUAUACAACGUCGUAGAAGGCAUCCUCGUUCAAGGAUCAUCGGAAAAACACCGGAAACAGACCCCAAAAGAGAGAUUCUGUGACCGUCUUCCAUGGAGGAAGCUGCUAGGCUUCAAGGUUGAGAGAAAACCAUGAUACAGGGACGCCAUGGUUGCUGGGAAUCGAGAGGAGUGAGGGAGGAGUGAGUUGAUGUGGCGAUGGAAGCCAUGUGAGAACUAGAAGGUUCUAAGGAUAUGUAGGUUUAGAGAGAAUCUGAGAGUGAAAGGGGAU